RNAcentral lists this ribosomal RNA (325 nucleotides) under uncultured eukaryote. RNAcentral describes it as "partial 18S ribosomal RNA". It matches the Rfam family "Eukaryotic small subunit ribosomal RNA", at positions 1470 to 1796 of the family's 1831-position model. The record is from RNAcentral.
CCCUUAGAUGUUCUCGGCCGCACACGCGCUACACUGAAAGAGGCAACGUGUUUGCCUGAUUCGAAAGAAUUGGGUAACCCCCUAAUCUCUUUCGUGCUGGGGAUUGAGGUUUGCAAUUAUCCUUCAUGAACGAGGAAUUCCCAGUAAGUGCGAGUCAUUAUCUCGCGCUGACUACGUCCCUGCCCUUUGUACACACCGCCCGUCGCUACUACCGAUUGAAUGGUCCGGUGAAGCGUUCGGACCGUGGCCUUUGGACGGUUCGCCGUCUGUUGGCUGCGGGAAGUUCGUUAAACCUUAUCAUUUAGAGGAAGGAGAAGUCGUAACA